GACGAACGCUGGCGGCGUGCUUAACACAUGCAAGUCGAACGGAAAGGCCCUGCUUUUGUGGGGUGCUCGAGUGGCGAGCGGGUGAGUAACACGUGAGUAACCUGCCCUUGACUUUGGGAUAACUUCAGGAAACUGGGGCUAAUACCGGAUAGGAGCUCCUGCUGCAUGGUGGGGGUUGGAAAGUUUCGGCGGUUGGGGAUGGACUCGCGGCUUAUCAGCUUGUUGGUGGGGCAGUGGCUUACCAAGGCUUUGACGGGUAGCCGGCCUGAGAGGGUGACCGGCCACAUUGGGACUGAGAUACGGCCCAGACUCCUACGGGAGGCAGCAGUGGGGAAUAUUGCACAAUGGGCGGAAGCCUGAUGCAGCAACGCCGCGUGCGGGAUGACGGCCUUCGGGUUGUAAACCGCUUUCGCCUGUGACGAAGCGUGAGUGACGGUAAUGGGUAAAGAAGCACCGGCUAACUACGUG
RNAcentral lists this ribosomal RNA (468 nucleotides) under uncultured bacterium. Its description in RNAcentral is "partial 16S ribosomal RNA". It matches the Rfam family "Bacterial small subunit ribosomal RNA", at positions 28 to 507 of the family's 1533-position model. The record is from RNAcentral.